RNAcentral lists this ribosomal RNA (483 nucleotides) under uncultured bacterium. RNAcentral's name for it is "partial 16S ribosomal RNA". It matches the Rfam family "Bacterial small subunit ribosomal RNA", at positions 28 to 523 of the family's 1533-position model. The record is from RNAcentral.
GACGAACGCUGGCGGCGUGCUUUACACAUGCAAGUCGAACGGUGAAGGUGGAGCUUGCUCCGCCGGAUCAGUGGCGAACGGGUGAGUAACACGUGGGCAACCUGCCCCUAACUUUGGGAUAACUACUCGAAAGAGUAGCUAAUACCGGAUAUGAAGUCUGUAGGCAUCUACGGAUUUGGAAAGUUUUUCGGUUAGGGAUGGGCCCGCGGCCUAUCAGCUUGUUGGUGAGGUAGUGGCUCACCAAGGCGACGACGGGUAGCCGGCCUGAGAGGGCGACCGGACACACUGGGACUGAGACACGGCCCAGACUCCUACGGGAGGCAGUAGUGGGGAAUAUUGCGCAAUGGGCGAAAGCCUGACGCAGCAACGCCGCGUGCGGGAUGAAGGCCUUCGGGUUGUAAACCGCUUUCAGCAGGGAAGAAGCGAAAGUGACGGUACCUGCAGAAGAAGCACCGGCUAACUACGUGCCAGCCGCCGCGGUAA